Molecule: ribosomal RNA, 400 nt
Filed under: uncultured bacterium
Lineage: Bacteria
Description: bacterial SSU rRNA
Rfam family: Bacterial small subunit ribosomal RNA
Source: RNAcentral
GAAUCUUGCACAAUGGGGGAAACCCUGAUGCAGCGACGCCGCGUGAGCGAUGAAGCCCUUCGGGGUGUAAAGCUCUUUCGGCAGGGACGAUAAUGACGGUACCUGAAGAAGAAGCUGCGGCUAACUACGUGCCAGCAGCCGCGGUAAUACGUAGGCAGCGAGCGUUGUUCGGAGUUACUGGGCGUAAAGAGUGCGUAGGCGGUUUUCUAAGUUUGGUGUGAAAUCUCCCGGCUUAACUGAGAGGGUGCGCCGAAGACUGGAAGGCUUGAGUAUGGGAGAGGUAAGCGGAAUUCCUGGUGUAGCGGUGAAAUGCGUAGAUAUCAGGAGGAACACCUGCGGUGUAGACGGCUUACUGGACCAUAACUGACGCUGAGGCACGAAAGCGUGGGUAGCAAACAGG